GUGGUUUGAUGUGCUUUUCCCUGAUGAUGAGUGAUGUGGAGCAUCUUUUCAUGGGUCUGUUGGCCAUUUCUGUGUCUUCUUUGGAAAAGUGUCUCUCCGCGUCUUCUGCCCACUUCUUACCAGUCCCUUUAUUUUGAGAUAUGAAUACCAUCUACAUUGUGUGACUAGGAGAGCUACAUGAGGUGAUGUGGAGCCCCAACACAUCAAGUGCCCGAUGACCUUAAGGACUGGGUACGAUGGGUUGAGUUUUGCCCCCCAAAGUGCUUAUGUUGAACCCUGACUCUAGGACCUCAGAAUGUGACCGUGCUUGGAGAUGGAGUCUUUACCGAGGUGGUUGAGUUAAAAUGAAGUGUCAGGCUGGGCCCUAAUCUAGUGUGACUGGUGUCCUUAUAAGCAGAGGAGAUCAGAACACGGGCACACAUAGAGGGGUGACCACGUGAGGACCCAGGGAAGACGAUGUAUCCAUGCCCAGGACAGAGGUCAGGCAUGUUAAAUUAGCAUCUGUCUCCUGGAGCCCUGGGUGCUGGACAGUGAGCAUGGUUCCACAACAGGCCACAGAGAAAUCGAAAUAGAGAAGUUUAUCACAGAACCUGGAGGAGGCGCUUGCCUAGGGAGGCCCCCUAGGGAGCUCAAGGCAGGUGCAGGCACAGAGCAGAAGACCUGGGGCUCCUGCCUUUACCAGGGCUCUCCGUCUCCAGCUUGCCGAGUGCAGAUCUUGGGAUUGCUCAGCCUCCGUAGAUUGGUGAGUCAGCUCCUCUAAUAAAUCUCUUUCUAUAAACUCCAUUGGUUCUGUUUCUCUGAACAAUCCAGACUAACAAGCAUUUUCUUUAUACAACUGAUCAUUGUAAAUUCUUUCUCAGCCCCUUUGAGAUGUAUGUAAAUCUUUUUUAAAGCCUCUUGCCUGUGUUACAACACAGGAAUGUCCUUCUCGAGGACCUGGGAGCCAUCUCUCUGAAAUGAAAUGCCGCGGAAGGUAGCGUGCAAUCCCCCAGUCCCUGUGGGGGUGGGCGCCCCGUCUCCUAGUUGGACAGCUACCGGCCGUCGCAAAGACAGGAGAAGUCUGCGUUUCCUCUGGGCAAAGCCAAUUAGCAAACACAGGCAGUCUUGGGUCCCCGUCAGCCAGCGCUUGAAGAAUCCCGUCCUUUGUCUCAGAGGAGCUGCGUCCUCUCUCCUCUGUUGUGGUAGCUCUGCAUUGCGUCGUCCCUGCCUGUUUCACCUUCUCCAGAGCCGUUUUGGCUUUGGCGGUGCCCACACCUCUGCUCAUACAGGCUACUCCGGCCUAUGGUCUGCUCCUCCCCGGCCUGCACACGCUCAGACCCCGACUGCAGGGCCAGACCAAGAAGGCGGGCAGCGUGGGCCCCACACACACAGUGGGUGUGCAGUGACACACCCGGCAGCCCCGUGCGUCAGGGCCCUGCCUCCUGGCUUCCCGCAUCCCCCUAGGUCUGUCCUCAGACACAGAAACAGGUGCGGCCACAUCCUGAGGCACAUGGAUUCAGUUGCUCCCCAAACCAAAUUUCUAUAUAGAAGGUAAGUCUCCGGGUGCCGGGGUGGCUCAGUUGUUAAGCAUCUGCCUUUGGC
Molecule: long non-coding RNA, 1581 nt
Organism: Ailuropoda melanoleuca (giant panda)
Lineage: Eukaryota; Metazoa; Chordata; Mammalia; Carnivora; Ursidae
Exons: 3
Source: RefSeq, a predicted model, not a curated record